Molecule: ribosomal RNA, 439 nt
Filed under: uncultured bacterium
Lineage: Bacteria
Description: partial 16S ribosomal RNA
Rfam family: Bacterial small subunit ribosomal RNA
Source: RNAcentral
CUACGGGGUGCUCCAGUGAGGAAUAUUGCACAAUGGGGGAAACCCUGAUGCAGCAACGCCGCGUGGAGGAUGACGCAUUUCGGUGUGUAAACUCCUUUUAUAUGUCAAGAAAAUGACGGUAGCAUAUGAAUAAGCACCGGCUAACUCCGUGCCAGCAGCCGCGGUAAUACGGAGGGUGCAAGCGUUAUUCGGAAUCACUGGGCGUAAAGGACGCGUAGGCGGGUUUUUAAGUCAGGUGUGAAAUCCUACAGCUUAACUGUAGAACUGCACUUGAAACUACUGACCUAGAGUAUGGGAGGGGGAGAUGGAAUUAGUGGUGUAGGGGUAAAAUCCGUAGAUAUCACUAGGAAUACCUAAAGCGAAGGCGAUCUCCUGGAACAUUACUGACGCUAAGGCGUGAAAGCGUGGGGAGCAAACAGGAUUAGAUACCCCGGUAGUC